Molecule: long non-coding RNA, 925 nt
Organism: Clupea harengus (Atlantic herring)
Lineage: Eukaryota; Metazoa; Chordata; Actinopteri; Clupeiformes; Clupeidae
Exons: 2
Source: RefSeq, a predicted model, not a curated record
CGUAUUCACCCACGUGACCCCUAUCCAUAACAACAAGCUUUGGCGGCCAUCUUGGGGUCCAUGUACGGCAUUGUUUUGCUGUGUUUUAUUCCGCUCUGACCAUCAUAUUCUGAAGGAGACACAAUUUCAGUGCCUUGUAAUUAUGGUACUGUGCCUCAUUGUUGGAUGUGGGACUAGGACGGGUAAAGCGCACACACACCGCGAAAAGGUUAGGUUAUUUCGCGUCCCGCGUGUGAUAACUAACCAGGGGGAACAUGUGGAUGGACUAACAUCUACUCGGCGCAGACAAUGGAUUUCUGCCAUAAGUAGAGCGAAUCUGACAGCGGAGAAGUUGGAGAAUGAACGUGUGUGUGGUAGCUUCAAAAGUUCUUGCUGCUCCUGAGGAACAAGACAACGCUACUACUGGUACCAAAGAAACAUGGACAACUUCACAUCAUCCAGAAAACCAGACUCCAUCCAGUUGUACGGAACUCACAGGGCAUGGGGGGACGUACAUCUGACAAGCACCUUACAGCAAACUGCGGUCUGUAGGAAAGACUGAAACCUGGUGACUUAGUCAUGGCUGAUCGUGGUUUCACAAUUCAAGAGAGCCUUGCCCUACGCCAAGUGAAACUGGCCAUUCCUACAUUCACUCGUGGUAGCAAACAGCUUGACCCAGUUGACAUCGAGCACACAAGAGGAAUUGCCAAUGUGAGGAUACAUGUUGAACGUGUGAUUGGACAGUUGAAACAGAAGUACAAGAUGUUACAGGAAACCUUGGAGAUUGAUUAUGUCAGCCUUACUGGUGGUUCCACAGAACCGAUGGUAGACAGAAUUAUCAGAGUAUGUGCUGUGUUAACAAACAUGUGCCCAUCAGUUGUACCCUUAACUUGAAUUGCAGAUGUCUCAACCAUUACAUGAUAAGGACACUGUUUUUUAUUUGAUA